This is a non-coding RNA of Acanthosepion pharaonis, 111 nucleotides long. NCBI's taxonomy places the organism in Eukaryota, Metazoa, Mollusca, Cephalopoda, Sepiida, Sepiidae. The record is from the annotation of a GenBank genome assembly.
UUACGGCCACAUCAUGUCGAAACCUCGGUUCCCGUACGAUCACCGAAGAUAAGGAAUGUUGAAUUUGAUCAUUACCUAGAUGGGUGACCGCUCGCGAAUACCAUGUGCUAU